AUUGAACGCUGGCGGCAGGCCUAACACAUGCAAGUCGAGCGGCAGCAUUGAGCUUGCUCCUGGACUCAUCGGCAGACGGGUGCGUAAUGCCUAGGCAUCUGCAUGGUCGUGGGGGAUGACGUCCGGAUACGGGCACUCAUACUGAUACCGCCCAGUGGCAGAAGAUGGAGGCUCUUCGGCUCUCACCCUAUCACAUUAGCCUGAGUCGGAUUAGCUAGUUGGUGGGGUAAAGGCCUACCAAGGCGACGAUCGGUAACUGGUCUGAGAGGAUGAUCAGUCACACUGGAACUGAGACACGGUCCAGACUCCUACGGGAGGCAGCAGUGGGGAAUAUUGGACAAUGGGGGAAAGCCUGAUCCAGCAAUGCCGCGUGUGUGAAGAAGGUCUUAGGAUUGUAAAGCACUUUAAGUGGGGAGGAAGGGCAGUAAGUUAAUACCUGACUGUUUUGACGUUACCAACAGAAUAAGCACCGGCUAACUUCGUG
This 484-nucleotide ribosomal RNA is filed under the name uncultured bacterium. RNAcentral's name for it is "partial 16S ribosomal RNA". It matches the Rfam family "Bacterial small subunit ribosomal RNA", at positions 30 to 507 of the family's 1533-position model. The record is from RNAcentral.